RNAcentral lists this long non-coding RNA (1154 nucleotides) under Gouania willdenowi (blunt-snouted clingfish). RNAcentral's name for it is "lncRNA (ENSGWIG00000020787.1)". Lineage: Eukaryota; Metazoa; Chordata; Actinopteri; Blenniiformes; Gobiesocidae. The record is from RNAcentral.
AACUAUGAUAAAAUGUUUAGUCAACUAAAUGAACAGUAUGAAGUGCAAACCUCCAUCAAGCUCUGAACCUCCUCUUCACAGAUAUGAUCAGUUAUCAAUGAUCAAUGAUCCUGAUCAUGGUACCAUGAUCAUUAACACUUUAAAGGCUUGGAACCACAUUUAUAUCUCAUUAAUAAACAUCCAGUAGGUCACAAUGUAUGGACACACUUUAAAAAAAAAGAAAAUAAAUCAAUGAAAUGCGUAAUCUGGAUCUGAUCAGGAUGAAACUCAGUGGGAUCAUUGAUUAACCACCCAAUAUAACUGAGUCACAUUUUAUACAGAUCCAUCAAUUACAAACCCAGAUAUGAAUUAUUAUGAUGAUGAGAGAUAGACAUUUUUUAUCUUUGAAACUGAUCAGAAUCAGUUCAUUGAUCAGGAGUCCCUCUGGCAGCAGAAAUCUUUCCUCCUUGGUGGAGGUAAUAAAGCAGAUGAAGUGUACGGCAGAGGUUUGAAACUUGUCAAUAAUGUGAUGAUUAUUAUUAUUAUUAAUAAAUUAAUGUCUUUCUCCCACAGACUGAGUUUCUGUGGUCUCUCAGAGAGAAGCUGUGCAGCUCUGUCCUCAGUCCUCAGCUCUCAGUCCUCCAGUGUGAAACAUCUGGACCUGAGUAACAAUUAUCUGCAGGAUUCAGGAGUGAAGUUGCUGUGUGAAGGACUGAAGAGUCCUCACUGUAAACUGGACUCUCUCAGUAGCGUCGAUGAUUUCCCCUUCCUUUGUGACAAUAACGACUGUUACUGGGCUCCGGUCCAGAAGAUCAUCAAACGGAUUCCACAUUUUUUCAGGGAUUGUGAUUUCAGUUUCAUCCUUGAGCGUUAAAAUUGACAUUCCGUCCGUCUUGCUGCUACGAGAGGCAAUGACAAUCACCUCCGACUUGGACACUUCUUCUCCCUUAAGAAAAGAAGACAAUCACACCGUUGUAGUACAGUCAGAACAAAAAUCCAAAGCAACACAAAACAUUUGCAGUUUACAGUUAUUAAGGGACUUGCUUAACAUCCCACAGUGAUGGCCUGGGUUGGAUUUGAUGAUUGCCAUCCCACUUCCUUAAUCCUUACAUCAUCACUCUCCUAUUGUGAAACACACAUCAGUCUAAAACCAACUCAUCUUGGACCAUUGUAGU